UCCACACAAAAAACAAAAUAAACAAUACACAGAAAAAAAGGGGGGGGAUACAAAAAAUAAAUACAGGGGAGGCAUUGAGUGGAUAGUGCAUUAAUGCAUUAAUCAUAUAUCCUGCAUUUUUUAUCUUUUUUAUUUUCAUAUUUUGCAUUUGUGGAUAUAUUUUGUUAAGCUUUGGUGGAGUUAAAUGCCACCUUGUAACUACUUUAUAUAUUGCUUCUUUCAUUUUUGAUGCCCUUGCCUUUUUGUUACCUUGCUUGAAAAUAUUCAACCACAUUUGUUCUGAUAUAUUAACACCCAGUUCUUUCUCCCAGGAAUGACAAAAUGAUGGUGGUUUAAAUUCACGUGAAUUAAGGAGGAUAUCGUAUACCUUUAAUCAAGUCUGGGUACGAAACCUGCUUGAUCCUGGUGGAUCAUUGAUGCUUGGAACCCAGGGCUAUCAGAUAGCCUCUUAAAACACAUUUUACAGUUUCCCAUAAAGUUGAUGGCGAAAUCUCUGGUGUUAUGUUGUUUAAUAUAAUUAGUUUGAUCCAUUUUUGUAUCAUAUCCUUGUUAUCUGCAUUAUGUAAUAAAAAUUCAUUUAAUCGCCA
Xenopus laevis (African clawed frog) is the source of this 587-nucleotide long non-coding RNA. RefSeq lists it as uncharacterized. The record is from RefSeq and is a predicted model, not a curated record. Lineage: Eukaryota; Metazoa; Chordata; Amphibia; Anura; Pipidae. The transcript is spliced from 3 exons.